This 253-nucleotide ribosomal RNA is filed under the name uncultured bacterium. RNAcentral's name for it is "partial 16S ribosomal RNA". It matches the Rfam family "Bacterial small subunit ribosomal RNA", at positions 524 to 776 of the family's 1533-position model. The record is from RNAcentral.
UACGAAGGGGGCUAGCGUUGCUCGGAAUCACUGGGCGUAAGGCGCACGUAGGCGGCUUUUUAAGUCAGGGGUGAAAUCCUGGAGCUCAACUCCAGAACUGCCUUUGAUACUGAGAAGCUUGAGUCCGGGAGAGGUGAGUGGAACUGCGAGUGUAGAGGUGAAAUUCGUAGAUAUUCGCAAGAACACCAGUGGCGAAGGCGGCUCACUGGCCCGGUACUGACGCUGAGGUGCGAAAGCGUGGGGAGCGAACGGG